GUUCUUGAGACCCUCUCUUGGUUUCUCUGCUUGGUAACCGCCUAGGACUGGCCUGUGUGGAUUCCAGGGCUCAGCACAGAAGGGGAGACUCAGUGGCAGCUGUUCGCAGAGACACUGGUUCAUGAAUGAGGCUCUCGGCCCCUCUCCAGGAGGAGGCCUGGCUUCUCACCGAUGGCUGCACACCCCGGACCAUGGCUUUCCCUGCUGGGCCUCAGUCAUCCUGACUGGGAAGGAGGGUUGCAGUAGCCCAUUGUCCUGCAUCCUGCCUGGGGUUGGGCUUCCCUUAUUAGUGCCGAGCCGCCUCUCCUCAGGCCUCCUGGCCCCUGCCCAGUCUGGUUGGCAGCCUCUGUUUGUAUCAGCAUAGCCCAGAUUGUGGGUCCAAGUCACCCCAUCCCUACCCCAGAAUCAAGCCUAGUUUGUGGAUCAUCUUCCUUUGACAGGGAGGGAAUCAGACUCAGAAAGGUUGAGUGAUUCAUCUGGGGUCCCCAGCAAGCCAGCAGUAGGCUGAAGGAACACAAGCCUGGGACACAUUCUCCAUUUCUCCCCCAGUAUCUCUGAAUCUGCACCUUUCUAACAUUGAUGGAACCAAUCUGAGGAACAGGUGACCUCCCCAGGGCUUCUAUCCUCAUCGGUAUAAUGGGUCUGACAGUUCCUUCCCCACCCACCACGCCGGCACGCAAUUGGACAUUCUGUGAAAAUACUUUGGAAGGCAGAAAUCAGGAAGCUGAACUGUUACAGCACGAUUGCUGACAGACACGGAGCAGGGACAUUGUCUUCUCUUUGGGAAGUUACACUUGAAGAGACAGUGAACUACCCAGGGCCCUCCUGCCCCCUACAAGGGUUUCUCCACUCAGGGGUUUGGAAAUCUGCACACAGAUACAUACCCGGCCUACUUGCACCUAGGUACAGGGGCACAAUGACAGACGAAGCACACAGAUACAGCCACCCACUGUAAAUGUACUCAGGGACUUUCACACACACACGUGCAACAGAUACACAUGUACACACACACACACAGGCAUUCCCAUGCACUCAGAAACACAAUAUGUCCAUGUACACACAGCCAGGUCAGCCUGUAUGCACACACCCUCCUGUCCACCUGGAACACAGAGGUCUGUUGAUGCAAGCAGGUCUCACCUCCCCCAGGGCCAGUGUGGGAAUGGAUAUUCCUCUGGCUGCAUUUCAAUGGGUGCCCGGAAGUGUGCAGGCCUGGAAGUGGUUGUGUAAAUCAAUAUUUGCUGCUGUUAAUUAUUAAAACCAAAGCUACUCUGUGCCUG
Molecule: long non-coding RNA, 1277 nt
Filed under: Marmota monax (woodchuck)
Lineage: Eukaryota; Metazoa; Chordata; Mammalia; Rodentia; Sciuridae
Source: RNAcentral